This 71-nucleotide transfer RNA is filed under the name Oplurus grandidieri. Its description in RNAcentral is "tRNA-Tyr". It matches the Rfam family "tRNA". From Rfam's summary of the family: Transfer RNA (tRNA) molecules are approximately 80 nucleotides in length. Their secondary structure includes four short double-helical elements and three loops (D, anti-codon, and T loops). Lineage: Eukaryota; Metazoa; Chordata; Lepidosauria; Squamata. The record is from RNAcentral.
GGUAAAGUGGCUGAGCGUUUAAGCGGUAGGCUGUAGUCCUAUUAAGAGAGGUUUAACUCCUUUUUUUACCA